GUGGGGAAUAUUGGACAAUGGGCGCAAGCCUGAUCCAGCCAUGCCGCGUGAGUGAUGAAGGCCCUAGGGUUGUAAAGCUCUUUCACCGAUGAAGAUAAUGACGGUAGUCGGAGAAGAAGCCCCGGCUAACUUCGUGCCAGCAGCCGCGGUAAUACGAAGGGGGCUAGCGUUGUUCGGAAUUACUGGGCGUAAAGCGCACGUAGGCGGAUAUUUAAGUCAGGGGUGAAAUCCCAGAGCUCAACUCUGGAACUGCCUUUGAUACUGGGUAUCUCGAGUAUGGAAGAGGUGAGUGGAAUUCCGAGUGUAGAGGUGAAAUUCGUAGAUAUUCGGAGGAACACCAGUGGCGAAGGCGGCUCACUGGUCCAUUACUGACGCUGAGGUGCGAAAGCGUGGGGAGCAAACAGGAUUAGAAACCCUAGUAGUCC
This 425-nucleotide ribosomal RNA is filed under the name uncultured bacterium. RNAcentral's name for it is "bacterial SSU rRNA". It matches the Rfam family "Bacterial small subunit ribosomal RNA", at positions 354 to 796 of the family's 1533-position model. The record is from RNAcentral.